Molecule: ribosomal RNA, 301 nt
Filed under: uncultured bacterium
Lineage: Bacteria
Description: partial 16S ribosomal RNA
Rfam family: Bacterial small subunit ribosomal RNA
Source: RNAcentral
CAGUAGCCGCGGGAAAACGAGGGGUGCAAGCGUUAUUCGGAUUGAUUGGGUGUAAAGGGUGUGCAGACGGCUUAUUAAGUCACUUGUUAAAUUCUUCGGCCUAACUGAAGGUCUGCAAGUGAUACUGAUGAGCUAGAGGGUGGAAGAGAGAAGUGGAAUUCUCGGAGUAGCGGUAAAAUGCGUGGAUCUCGAGAGGAACACCAAUGGCGAAGGCAGCUUCUUGGUCCAUUCCUGACGUUCAUACACGAAAGCGUGGGGAGCAAACAGGAUUAGAUACCCCAGUAGUCCCUGUCUCUUAUAC